RNAcentral lists this ribosomal RNA (711 nucleotides) under Halobacillus sp. WJ4-4. Its description in RNAcentral is "bacterial SSU rRNA". It matches the Rfam family "Bacterial small subunit ribosomal RNA", at positions 83 to 778 of the family's 1533-position model. The record is from RNAcentral. Lineage: Bacteria; Bacillati; Bacillota; Bacilli; Caryophanales; Bacillaceae.
CUCGUGGAACGAGCGGCGGACGGGUGAGUAACACGUGGGCAACCUGCCUGUAAGAUCGGAAUAACCCCGGGAAACCGGGGCUAAUGCCGGGUAAUACUUUCUUUCGCAUGAAGGAAAGUUGAAAGAUGGCUUCUUGCUAUCACUUACAGAUGGGCCCGCGGCGCAUUAGCUAGUUGGUGAGGUAACGGCUCACCAAGGCGACGAUGCGUAGCCGACCUGAGAGGGUGAUCGGCCACACUGGGACUGAGACACGGCCCAGACUCCUACGGGAGGCAGCAGUAGGGAAUCUUCCGCAAUGGACGAAAGUCUGACGGAGCAACGCCGCGUGAACGAUGAAGGUCUUCGGAUCGUAAAGUUCUGUUGUUAGGGAAGAACAAGUACCGUGCGAAUAGAGCGGUACCUUGACGGUACCUAACGAGGAAGCCCCGGCUAACUACGUGCCAGCAGCCGCGGUAAUACGUAGGGGGCAAGCGUUGUCCGGAAUUAUUGGGCGUAAAGCGCGCGCAGGCGGUUCCUUAAGUCUGAUGUGAAAGCCCACGGCUCAACCGUGGAGGGUCAUUGGAAACUGGGGAACUUGAGGACAGAAGAGGAGAGUGGAAUUCCACGUGUAGCGGUGAAAUGCGUAGAUAUGUGGAGGAACACCAGUGGCGAAGGCGACUCUCUGGUCUGUUUCUGACGCUGAGGUGCGAAAGCGUGGGUAGCAAACAGGAA